This 603-nucleotide ribosomal RNA is filed under the name Escherichia coli. RNAcentral describes it as "partial 23S ribosomal RNA". It matches the Rfam family "Bacterial large subunit ribosomal RNA", at positions 2196 to 2798 of the family's 2925-position model. The record is from RNAcentral. Lineage: Bacteria; Pseudomonadati; Pseudomonadota; Gammaproteobacteria; Enterobacterales; Enterobacteriaceae.
AAUACCACCCUUUAAUGUUUGAUGUUCUAACGUUGGCCCCUAAUCGGGGUUGCGGACAGUGUCUGGUGGGUAGUUUGACUGGGGCGGUCUCCUCCUAAAGAGUAACGGAGGAGCACGAAGGUUGGCUAAUCCUGGUCGGACAUCAGGAGGUUAGUGCAAUGGCAUAAGCCAGCUUGACUGCGAGCGUGACGGCGCGAGCAGGUGCGAAAGCAGGUCAUAGUGAUCCGGUGGUUCUGAAUGGAAGGGCCAUCGCUCAACGGAUAAAAGGUACUCCGGGGAUAACAGGCUGAUACCGCCCAAGAGUUCAUAUCGACGGCGGUGUUUGGCACCUCGAUGUCGGCUCAUCACAUCCUGGGGCUGAAGUAGGUCCCAAGGGUAUGGCUGUUCGCCAUUUAAAGUGGUACGCGAGCUGGGUUUAGAACGUCGUGAGACAGUUCGGUCCCUAUCUGCCGUGGGCGCUGGAGAACUGAGGGGGGCUGCUCCUAGUACGAGAGGACCGGAGUGGACGCAUCACUGGUGUUCGGGUUGUCAUGCCAAUGGCACUGCCCGGUAGCUAAAUGCGGAAGAGAUAAGUGCUGAAAGCAUCUAAGCACGAAACUUGCC